This 515-nucleotide ribosomal RNA is filed under the name uncultured bacterium. RNAcentral describes it as "partial 16S ribosomal RNA". It matches the Rfam family "Bacterial small subunit ribosomal RNA", at positions 28 to 523 of the family's 1533-position model. The record is from RNAcentral.
GAUGAACGCUGGCGGCGUGCCUAAUACAUGCAAGUCGAGCGAAUGGAUUAAGAGCUUGCUCUUAUGAAGUUAGCGGCGGACGGGUGAGUAACACGUGGGUAACCUGCCCAUAAGACUGGGAUAACUCCGGGAAACCGGGGCUAAUACCGGAUAACAUUUUGAACCGCAUGGUUCGAAAUUGAAAGGCGGCUUCGGCUGUCACUUAUGGAUGGACCCGCGUCGCAUUAGCUAGUUGGUGAGGUAACGGCGCACCAAGGCCACGAUGCGUAGCCGAGCUGGGAGGGUGAUCGGCCACACUGGGACUGAGACACGGACCAGACUCCUACGGGAGGCAGCAGUAGGGAAUCUUCCGCAAUGGACGAAAGGCUGACGGAGCAACGCCGCGUGAGUGAUGAAGGCUUUCGGGUCGUAAAACUCUGUUGUUAGGGAAGAACAAGUGCUAGUUGAAUAAGCUGGCACCUUGACGGUACCUAACCAGAAAGCCACGGCUAACUACGUGCCAGCCGCCGCAGUAA